RNAcentral lists this ribosomal RNA (274 nucleotides) under uncultured bacterium. RNAcentral describes it as "partial 16S ribosomal RNA". It matches the Rfam family "Bacterial small subunit ribosomal RNA", at positions 523 to 796 of the family's 1533-position model. The record is from RNAcentral.
AUACGGAGGGUGCGAGCGUUAAUCGGAAUUACUGGGCGUAAAGGGUGCGUAGGCGGCUUGAUAAGUCGGAUGUGAAAGCCCCGGGCUUAACCUGGGAAUUGCAUUCGAUACUGUCAGGCUAGAGUAUGUCAGAGGUUGGCGGAAUUCCUGGCGUAGCGGUGAAAUGCGUAGAUAUCAGGAGGAACACCAGUGGCGAAGGCGGCUAACUGGGACAAUACUGACGCUGAGGCACGAAAGCGUGGGGAGCAAACAGGAUUAGAAACCCUAGUAGUCC